GGAAUUCCUGCCUACCUGUUGCUUUCCAGAGGCUGGAGAUUUCCAGAAAGGACUGAGCUAUGCUGGGCAACAAGCAAUGAAUCAGAGGCAGAACAAAACAUGACAUCUCCAUCAGAGGGAAGAAAGGAAGACUCUAUGAAACACCCCAUUGCUCCAGCCCUUUGUUGUCUGCUGACUUCACUUCCCCAGUCUGGCUCAGGAGUGGGGAAAGCCCGAUGACAGCAUGCAGAGACAGAUCACCGUCCUCCUUGUGCCUCGCUGUAUGCAGCAAUGUGCCAAAGCCCCCACGUGCCAGAGUGCAGCAAUUGCAGCUAGUGAGCCACGGGAGACAUGCCAAGGCAGAGCUGGCCUGGUUUUGGGCUGGGACAGCCAAUGGAAGGUUCAAUAGAUAGCAGCUGCUAUUUACCUGCUGCUCUGCACCCGGCCCGCGCAGCAGAUCGGACAUGCAGAGAGCCAGCUGGAAGUCAAUACUAAUGCUGUAUGCCAACUAAACUGUUGCUUUCUUAGGAAUCAGUGUGCAUUCAAGCGUGAGCCCCUUUCCUCAGAGCCACACCAAGGGAGGCAAGGACCAGUGCAGCCAUACAGUGUCCUCACUCACCUACUCACCCCUGCCUGCUGUACACAGAUGUGUGCGUGGCACUUGCUUGACAGCCCUGUGGCUGGCAGGCACUGAGUGGUCAGUACAAUUGUCCAACAAGAACUAAAUCUGUGCUAAGUGCCUCCUUGCAAGCGCUAACAAUAACCCAGAGCCACCACUUGUAAAGCACUCAUGUUGUUUCUGUGCUUCUCAUUUA
Long non-coding RNA from Lagopus leucura (white-tailed ptarmigan), 794 nucleotides. RefSeq lists it as uncharacterized. Lineage: Eukaryota; Metazoa; Chordata; Aves; Galliformes; Phasianidae. The record is from RefSeq and is a predicted model, not a curated record. The transcript is spliced from 2 exons.